Non-coding RNA from Schizosaccharomyces pombe (fission yeast), 1263 nucleotides. The record is from the annotation of a GenBank genome assembly. Lineage: Eukaryota; Fungi; Ascomycota; Schizosaccharomycetes; Schizosaccharomycetales; Schizosaccharomycetaceae.
AUUUGCUGAAAUGUUGAAUUAAUUUUCUUCAUUGCGUAUUCAGCACCGUCAAUCUUAUUUCGUACGUGAUAUACUGAUCCAAAUCCACCUCUUCCUAGUAAAGAAUACUCCUCAAAGUCCUCUAUGUAACGAGAGUUUCUUGACUGUAACCAACUCUCAAGCGUAAGAUCACGGAAUCGGAACUGUCUUACAUUUAAUCCAUCUACAGAGAAUUUCGAAAGAGCAGUUUCUUGUGGAAAUUUUUCAAAUACAUUGGUGGGAUCGGGUAGUGCUAAAAGUCGCUCUUCAGCAUCGUCGAGACGGAUUGCCUCACGCGCUUGCAGAAUCAAAUGGUGUAAAGCAUCCUGAUAAUUGGAUCUAACGGCUGCAAGUUCUUCAAUAUAUUCUUCUUCCAAAAUACCUAUUUUUUGAAGAGUAUGGCAAAUUAAAGCAAAAAGUCGUUUGGACUUGGCAGGAUUAUUGUCAUACAGUUCUUUAAUAAGUAAGCAAGUAGUUCACAUGAAACGAGAGCUUAGACAUACGACAAAAAUUUUCCAACAAAGCAGUUAAAAGCAUCCGCCCUAAUAAAUACAUUAGCUUAGGUUGUCAAUGACCAAUAUUUUUAGUUCGUCAACUGCUUUAUACACACAGUUGUAAUUAAUUCCUACCAUGUUUAUUGACAGACAAAUCCCUUGAUUGUCUUUCAUUUUUUAAACUUAUUGCAUUUGUUGUCUCUGAGUAAUUCCCAUCUUCCGCUGACUUGUGAGCGUUGAAAAAUCGCAUAUUUGUGAUGAUGGAAGUGAAAAAGGCAUUAAGAAAACAACCAGUUUUUUUCUGCACUUAUCAAAAUAUUUGUCAAAAUCCCGUUAAUCGCAACCAGCUAAUCUCGUAUCUUACAAUGGAAGGUUAGAGAAUUGUUAAUGGAAACUUUGUGGUUGACUUUUCAGAUCAUGAAAGUAACAUUAGGAGAAUUUAACUCUACAGCUAAAAUACAUGGUUUCUACUGACUAUGGUCGUGUUAACGAUAAGUAUGUAUUUGUACUGUUAAAAAUUCAGAUAAGUAAUUAUAAUCAGUCUUCUUUUUUGAACUUCUUCAUUCGUGAAAAAGCAAGUCAAUUUUUAAAUUAGCAUCGUAAACAGUAAGCCAAAGAUACAUUUAUAAUCUAAAUCAAAGCAAAAAGAAUCCAGCUCGAAACUGAAUUUAUAAAACCAAUUUGUUUAAAGAAUUGAUAUAUUUUAUUACCAGAUAAAUGUUGUGGACAGAAAUCAUUUGAAUUAUUAAUU